GUUUAUGGGUGGACUCCUGUGCUUGGGACCAUGGUAUCAUUAGUGGAAGCAUUUGUCAGAAUACCUGAGUUAUGUUUCGACGAGUGCAAACAAUGGCAUGCAAACUAUUGGGAUUGUGAUUGCAAGUCUUGUGACAAAGAUGGUAACAGUGGCAAUGGCCAUGACAGUUGUGUGCUUCUAAAAGGUUUAUCAGAAGCUAAAAAAUUGACAUUGUUUUCUUAAUCCUGUAAUGGUAUACCUGGACUCUUGUCUUUUACCUUUGUCAUUAUAUUCAUCUCAUUAUAUAUUCUGCAUUAUCUAUAUUGUUGGAGGUUAUUGAGAAAUGUCACCUAGACUAGCCUUUGCUUUUGUGCUUGUGUUGCCAACAACUAGUAUUUUUGUGGCUUUUAAUUGUCAUGCUAGUAUUUCAUCUUUUCUGCUUGCACUUUGUCCAGUAUAUUUUCAAAAGGGACUUGAGAUGCUGCCCAACGUUUAGCAAGUUGAAGACUUUGUUACUCAACAAAUACUGGUCUGAGCCUGAUAGUUUACAUCCACUUGCAUGUAUCCUUGAACAUUCUCCAGUUCUGGAGAAGCUCACUCUUCAGCUAUUUUUGUGGAGAAGCUCACUCUUCAGCUAUUUUUGGAGGUGCCUAAAUGUGUAGAGGAAAUGAAAGGAAUCCCUGAUCCGGAAGAGUUAUCAUCUGCUAUAUCAGAAUUCCUUCAGAUAAUUGAAGUCAAAUGUGAAAUGGUUGAUAAAGUGGUUCUCAAUAUUUUGAAGUUUCUGAGUAAACUUGGCAUAAUUUUUGAUCAACAUGGGGUUUUGGCUGAAGAUGGAUCUGGUACCACUUAGCAUAUUACACAAGAUACGAUGCAAAGCUCCAUCAGGGAAGGAUCGUUGCUGCCAGCCAAGGAUGUCUUUCAUCUCUGGUUCCUAGUUUUAGUUGUAGCUGUAAGGAACACUUAGGAGUCAGUAAUUAGUUGUUUCAAUCAUUUAGCUGUACCUGGUUUGACCUUGUUAUGGCUUUCGCUACCUUCCUCCCCGAUCAAUGAUUAGCAUACUCAAGGUAGUGUCCAUGUUCUAUGCAAUUUGAGAAGAAACUCAGUAUCAUAUAUCUUGUCCUUGCUGAGUCCAAUUCCUGUGAUGCUAGGAUUGAAUCUGUAGUAAUGCUGGGUGAGUACUAUUACACUCACAUGAUUAAA
Molecule: long non-coding RNA, 1179 nt
Organism: Panicum virgatum (switchgrass)
Lineage: Eukaryota; Viridiplantae; Streptophyta; Magnoliopsida; Poales; Poaceae
Exons: 3
Source: RefSeq, a predicted model, not a curated record